UCCGGCGGCUAUGACAAAGAGGCCACACCUGUUCCCAUCCCGAACACAGCCGUUAAGCUCUUUUGUGUCGACAAUACUUGGCUGGCAACGGCCCGGGAAGAUAGAUCGCUGCCGGAU
RNAcentral lists this ribosomal RNA (117 nucleotides) under Clostridiaceae bacterium. The record is from RNAcentral. Lineage: Bacteria; Bacillati; Bacillota; Clostridia; Eubacteriales; Clostridiaceae.